RNAcentral lists this non-coding RNA (27 nucleotides) under Cricetulus griseus (Chinese hamster). The record is from RNAcentral. Lineage: Eukaryota; Metazoa; Chordata; Mammalia; Rodentia; Cricetidae.
CCAAGCCAUGUAUAUCUGGGUUGAUGG